AAAAUGUAGCUUAGAACAAUACCAAUUCUACUUAAGACAUGCCGGUCGGUCUAUUUAUCCUUGGUUGUGACUUAAUAACAUCCGGUGUCAUUUUAGUUCGCACCGCGUUAUGAGCAAGAACGUCACACACAGACAGACUUUGAGCCCUGCGGUCUGAAUGCGAAUCAUAUGAAAAUAUUAGUCAAUUGUAAUUAUUUUCUGAUUUAACUUUUCAGUUUAAUGUUUAUCAUAAAUAUUGUGUGAAACAGCUAAACACGAGGACAUUCCUCUUUAUUGUACAUAUUGAUAAAAUCCAUUACAAUGUGUACACGGUUUAAAAACACUUUCAGCCGGAAAUGAAAUAGUUUUAUACAUUCGAGGCCGUAUUUCACCAGGAAUUCGUAUGUUGUAGAAUGAAGUGUAGCAGUGUAUAUCAGUGUGUGGAAAGAAAGAUUGGAGGAAUCUUUGCUAAGUAUGGCCGAUUUGUCGCUGCGCAUGCGUGGAAAAUUCUUAUUGUUUCCAUUCUUGUCAAUGGAGGGCUUGGAAUCGGAAUGAUGAAGAUGGAAUUAGACAAUGACGCGUCUAAUUACCUCCCUUCAGGAACACAAGCGGAAGAAGAUGAAAAAAGAAUCGAAGGAUUAUUUCCGGAUCUUGAUUAUUCAAAUUUUGAUUCGCUUCGACUCAUAUAUGGUGGUCCGUGGGUGCGGCUGAUAGUCAGAAGUAAAAGUGGUAAUUUGUUGAUCAGACAGAUGUUAGAACAGGUCCAAUCGCUGACAAAUGUCAUACAAAAUAUCACCGCAGAUGACGGAUAUGGACAGACC
This is a long non-coding RNA of Mercenaria mercenaria, 800 nucleotides long. RefSeq lists it as uncharacterized. The record is from RefSeq and is a predicted model, not a curated record. The transcript is spliced from 3 exons. Lineage: Eukaryota; Metazoa; Mollusca; Bivalvia; Venerida; Veneridae.